UCUCUCGGUCUCUCCUCUACAAUUCAGAUGGUGGAUCUGCAAUGCCUUCAAAGCUUCCUACUACAAUCCCUUGCCUCAUCUUCCUCUCCGUCCUCCUCCUCUACCUCUACUCCACUUCGCUCCUCCCUUACUCCUCUACAUCCAUCACCACACUUUCUCCUUCUACAACUUGCAAUCUCUUCGAAGGCCACUGGGUCUUAGACCCUGAGGCCCCCAAACCCUUUUACGAUGAGUCCUGCCCAUUUCAUAGAAACGCCUGGAACUGCCUUAGGAACAACAGAGACAACAUGGGUCUCAUCAAUUCCUGGAAAUGGGUGCCCCAAAAAUGCAAUUUGCCACGGAUUGAUCCGCAGAGAUUUCUAGGGAUAAUGAGAAAUAGGAACAUUGGAUUUGUUGGCGAUUCUUUAAAUGAGAAUUUUUUGGUGUCGUUUUUGUGUAUUCUUAGAGUGGCUGAUGCUGGUGCGAAGAGGUGGAAAAAGAAGGGGGCUUGGAGAGGUGCUUAUUUCCCUAAAUUCAAUGUCACCGUGGCAUAUCACCGGGCUGUUUUGCUCUCCAAAUAUCAGUGGCAGCCAAAACAGUCUGCAGUUGCGAAUGAUGGACUGAAGGGAAUGUAUCGUGUAGAUGUUGACAUACCUGCAGAUGAAUGGGCCACGAUCAAUGAUUUUUAUGAUGUUCUUAUAUUUAAUACUGGGCAUUGGUGGGGCCAUGACAAAUUUCCAAAAGAGACACCUCUUGUUUUUUAUCGUGCUGGCCAACCGAUACUUCCUCCUCUUGGGUUGUUUGAUGGACUUAAAGCUGUUCUUGACAAUAUGGUCUCAUAUAUACAAAAAGAAGUUCCUGGCAAGACUCUCAAGUUUUGGCGGCUGCAAUCACCGCGGCAUUUUUAUGGCGGUGAGUGGAACCAAAAUGGAAGUUGCUUGUUCAAUGAGCCCCUCAAGGAAUAUGAGGUAUAAAUAAGUUGAUGAUGGCAGUUCGCCUUUAUGAGUACUUACCAAUUGUAAUGAUUAAUGACAAGUUGUCCAGCAUUUUUGCAUUCUAGUCCUUGUUGGAGUUAAGCCUUGGACUUUUCAGAUCUCUUUCAAAAUAUUGAACUUGUACUUAAAUAUGUUUAAUCCAGAGGUUCAAAAUUUUGAAGAAAAAUCUUUAUGAAGUAAAAUUUGACCUUCAACACCAUGAACCUUUAUAGUGUUUCAGUAUUUCUAUUCUUGCAUUUUCUUAUUCAUAUUUCAUACUUCAACCUGGACAGCUUGAUUUGUGGUUUGAUCCCAGCAAGAAUGGAGUGAAUAAAGAAGCAAGGCAAAUUAAUCAUGCAAUUAAACAGAAGUUGCAAGGCACAGAUAUUCACUUGCUGGAUCUGACUCAUUUGAGUGAAUAUAGAGCAGAUGCGCACCCUGCAAUCUGGUUAGGGAAGAAGGAUGCUGUGGCAAUCUGGGGUCAGGAUUGCAUGCACUGGUGCCUACCUGGUGUUCCUGACACAUGGGUUGACAUCUUGUCAGAGCUUAUCCGUCAAGGUGUUUCGAGGAACUGAUAAAGAGAGAAGGCUACAUUAACAAGUUGUAUCCAGAUUUUGUUUUGCGGAUUUCUGUACAUUACACGGUAAAAUGCAAUGGAGUUCAUGGACCAAUUUAUAGAAUCUGGCUAUCAGAAUACAGGCUGGUGUUUUAGACAGACAUCCUGAUGAUAUUACUUCCAGGAGAUUCAGAUGGAAUAAUCUUCCUUACAUCGUUUUCACGUUGAUGUUCUGAAGGGAACUAAAUUUGUUCCCAGUGUAAACAGAUGAGUGAGAUUUUGGAACAGGAAAAAAAAAGGGGAAAUAGGAAAUUCUUUAGGGUGGUGAAAUAGGUGAUUGGAAGGGUUAUUGAAUGACUGCAUUUUUCUUCCACAUGUUCCUGUACGUUUCAAUUGUCUAAUUUCUGUACACAAUUAUUUCUUUCAAUUUAUAUUUCACUCUUCUUCUCUUGAACUGGAAA
RNAcentral lists this unclassified non-coding RNA (1970 nucleotides) under Hevea brasiliensis (rubber tree). The record is from RNAcentral. Lineage: Eukaryota; Viridiplantae; Streptophyta; Magnoliopsida; Malpighiales; Euphorbiaceae.